CUCGUAGUUGAACCUUGGGCCUGGCUGGCCGGUCCGCCUCACCGCGUGUACUGGUCCGGCCGGGCCUUUCCUUCUGGGGAGCCGCAUGCCCUUCACUGGGCGUGUCGGGGAACCAGGACUUUUACUUUGAAAAAAUUAGAGUGUUCAAAGCAGGCCUUUGCUCGAAUACAUUAGCAUGGAAUAAUAGAAUAGGACGUGCGGUUCUAUUUUGUUGGUUUCUAGGACCGCCGUAAUGAUUAAUAGGGAUAGUCGGGGGCAUCAGUAUUCAAUUGUCAGAGGUGAAAUUCUUGGAUUUAUUGAAGACUAACUACUGCGAAAGCAUUUGCCAAGGAUGUUUUCAUUAAUCAGUGAACGAAAGUUAGGGGAUCGAAGACGAUCAGAUACCG
RNAcentral lists this ribosomal RNA (386 nucleotides) under Aureobasidium pullulans. RNAcentral describes it as "SSU rRNA". It matches the Rfam family "Eukaryotic small subunit ribosomal RNA", at positions 627 to 1017 of the family's 1831-position model. Lineage: Eukaryota; Fungi; Ascomycota; Dothideomycetes; Dothideales; Saccotheciaceae. The record is from RNAcentral.